CCUACGGGACGCAGCAGUCGGGAAUAUUGCGCAAUGGAGGAAACUCUGACGCAGUGACGCCGCGUGCAGGAAGAAGGUUUUCGGAUUGUAAACUGCUUUAGACAGGGAAGAAAGAAAUGACGGUACCUGUAGAAUAAGCUCCGGCUAACUACGUGCCAGCAGCCGCGGUAAUACGUAGGGAGCAAGCGUUAUCCGGAUUUAUUGGGUGUAAAGGGUGCGUAGACGGGUAUACAAGCCAGAAGUGAAAUCUGGGGGCUUAACCCCCAAACUGCUUUUGGAACUGCGUGUCUUGAGUGAUGGAGAGG
This 305-nucleotide ribosomal RNA is filed under the name uncultured bacterium. RNAcentral's name for it is "bacterial SSU rRNA". It matches the Rfam family "Bacterial small subunit ribosomal RNA", at positions 338 to 657 of the family's 1533-position model. The record is from RNAcentral.